CAGUAACGUAUAUUAAAGUUGUUGCGGUAAAAAAGCUCGUAGUUGGAUUUCUGUUGAGGACGACCGGUCUACACCACGUGUACGCAUCUGGCUCGGCCUCGGCAUCCUCUCGGAAAGCGUUCCUGCGCUUGAUUGCGUGGGGCGUGUUUCGGGACUUUUACUUUGAGGAAAUUAGAGUGUUCACGGCAGGCUAUCGCCAGAAUAUAUUAGCAUGGAAUAAUACUAUAGGAUUUUGAUUCUAUUUUGUUGGUUUCUAGGAUCGAAAUAAUGAUUAAUAGGGACAAUUGGGGGGAUUCGUAUCAACACGUCAGAGGUGGAAUUCUUGGAUUGUGUUGCGACGAACUACUGCGAAAGCAUUUCUCAAGGAUU
This 369-nucleotide ribosomal RNA is filed under the name uncultured eukaryote. RNAcentral describes it as "bacterial SSU rRNA". It matches the Rfam family "Eukaryotic small subunit ribosomal RNA", at positions 592 to 966 of the family's 1831-position model. The record is from RNAcentral.